Molecule: long non-coding RNA, 561 nt
Organism: Peromyscus californicus insignis
Lineage: Eukaryota; Metazoa; Chordata; Mammalia; Rodentia; Cricetidae
Exons: 5
Source: RefSeq, a predicted model, not a curated record
CAGUCAAUCCCUGCUAUACACGACCGGUCUAAUAAAACGGCAUCUAUGGACUGGCACGGAAAAGGUGAAGUGGAAUAAGGUCACUUCAACGCUAGCAACAACCAGCACUCUGAUUUGCCGCUGGGUGAACGGAUACACUGCCUCUUCCUGAAUUUAAGACGUACUGUAGGAAUAGCUGUGGCCCGGCAGGCACUCAAGGUACACUUGAGUAGAUGCCCCUGAUGGACUCCUCAAGCUGCACAGCUACAAUGUGGAGUUGCAUUCCCCACUUCCAGAGCAGUGAGAAACUCAUGCUCCCAGUGCUCAGGUCCCUGCCCAAUGCGGAGCUGGCCUCGAGGCUCUUACCCAAGCCAUGUUGUCAACUAUCCCAUCCUUCCAACCAAGUAGCAUGGGAGCUGAGGAUAUAGCUGCAGGAGUCCAGAAGCUCACAGGCUGAUAUAAUUAGAUGUGCAUCUACAAACCAGGAGGUGAGAAAUCACCAGAACCCAAGCAGUGCUGGCACCUUGAUCUUGGACCUCCCAGCCUUUGUAACUGGAAUAAAUCAUUUUGUAUUGCUCAGCC